AAGAAGUUAGUUAAAAAUAUAACAUUAAUAUGUCAUAUUAAAAUAAUUAAUAAAUUUAAUACUUCUUU
Molecule: transfer RNA, 68 nt
Filed under: Creobroter sp. JZ-2017
Lineage: Eukaryota; Metazoa; Arthropoda; Insecta; Mantodea; Hymenopodidae
Description: tRNA-Asp
Source: RNAcentral